GGGAUUGCCUCAGUAACGGCGAGUGAAGCGGCAAAAGCUCAAAUUUUAAAGCUGGCAUCUUCGGUGUCCGCGUUGUAAUUUUGUGAGGCAUCUCCGGGUAGGGCGCCGGCCUAAGUUCCUUGGAACAGGACGUCACAGAGGGUGAGAAUCCCGUGCUUGGCUGGCUGUCCCCGUCCAUGUGAGGUGUCUUCGACGAGUCGAGUUGUUUGGGAAUGCAGCUCAAAAUGGGUGGUAAAUUUCAUCUAAAGCUAAAUAUUGGUGGGAGACCGAUAGCGCACAAGUAGAGUGAUCGAAAGAUGAAAAGCACUUUGAAAAUAGAGUUAAAAAGUACGUGAAAUUGUUGAAAGGGAAGCGCUUGAGAUCAGACUUCGGUAGGGGGUGAUCAGCCGUCCUUCUGGGCGGUGCACUUGCCCCUCUCCGGGCCAGCAUCGGUUGAGGCGGCGGGAUAAAGGUCCCGGGAAUGUGGCUCCUUCGCGGGAGUGUUAUAGCCCGGGUGAAUGCCGCCAGUCUCGACCGAGGACCGCACCCGCAAGGGUUAGGAUGCUUGGCAUAAUGGUCUUCAGCGACCCGUCUUGAAACACGGACCAAGGAGUCUAACAUCUAUGCGAGUGUUUGGGUGUCAAACCCUUGCGCGAAAUGAAAGUGAACGGAGGUGGGAACCCGCAAGGGCGCACCAUCGACCGGUCCUGAAGUCUUCUGAAGGAUCUGAGUAGGAGCAUAGCUGUUGGGACCCGAAAGAUGGUGAACUAUGCCUGAAUAGGGUGAAGCCAGAGGAAACUCUGGUGGAGGCUCGCAGCGGUUCUGACGUGCAAAUCGAUCGUCAAAUUUGGGUAUAGGGGGCGAAAGACUAAUCGAACCAUCUAGUAGCUGGUUCCUGCGAUUCCCCCCCCCGGAGAAAAUAA
Molecule: ribosomal RNA, 902 nt
Filed under: Morchella sextelata
Lineage: Eukaryota; Fungi; Ascomycota; Pezizomycetes; Pezizales; Morchellaceae
Description: partial large subunit ribosomal RNA
Rfam family: Eukaryotic large subunit ribosomal RNA
Source: RNAcentral